RNAcentral lists this ribosomal RNA (467 nucleotides) under uncultured bacterium. RNAcentral's name for it is "bacterial SSU rRNA". It matches the Rfam family "Bacterial small subunit ribosomal RNA", at positions 37 to 537 of the family's 1533-position model. The record is from RNAcentral.
AACGAACGCUGGCGGCAGGCCUAACACAUGCAAGUCGAGCGCCCAGCAAUGGGAGCGGCGCACGGGUGAGUAACACGUGGGAACGUGCCCUUUGGUUCGGAAUAACGCAGGGAAACUUGCGCUAAUACCGGAUAAGCCCUACGGGGGAAAGAUUUAUCGCCAUUGGAGCGGCCCGCGUCUGAUUAGCUAGUUGGUGAGGUAACGGCCCACCAAGGCAACGAUCAGUAGCUGGUUUGAGAGAACGACCAGCCACACUGGGACUGAGACACGGCCCAGACUCCUACGGGAGGCAGCAGUGGGGAAUCUUGGACAAUGGGGGAAACCCUGAUCCAGCCAUGCCGCGUGAGUGAUGAAGGCCCUAGGGUUGUAAAACUCUUUCGGCGGGACGAUAAUGACGGUACCCGCAGAAGAAGCUCCGGCUAACUUCGUGCCAGCCGCCGCCGUAAGACCUGGGACUGCCAAGGCAC